This 253-nucleotide ribosomal RNA is filed under the name uncultured bacterium. RNAcentral describes it as "partial 16S ribosomal RNA". It matches the Rfam family "Bacterial small subunit ribosomal RNA", at positions 524 to 776 of the family's 1533-position model. The record is from RNAcentral.
UACGUAGGGUGCGAGCGUUGUCCGGAAUCACUGGGCGUAAAGGGCGCGUAGGCGGCCUGGCAAGUCGAUGGUGAAAGCCCGAGGCUCAACUUCGGGUCGGCCACUGAUACUGCUGGGCUUGAGUCGACUAGAGGCAGAUGGAAUUCCGGGUGUAGCGGUGGAAUGCGUAGAGAUCCAGAAGAACACCGGUGGCGAAGGCGGUCUGCUGGGGUCGAACUGACGCUGAGGCGCGACAGCGUGGGGAGCAAACAGG